RNAcentral lists this transfer RNA (61 nucleotides) under Orthonychiurus folsomi. RNAcentral describes it as "tRNA-Tyr". Lineage: Eukaryota; Metazoa; Arthropoda; Collembola; Poduromorpha; Onychiuridae. The record is from RNAcentral.
AAUAAGGUGGCUGAUCAAAGGCAUUAAAUUGUAAAUUUAAUUAUGAUGAAAAUCUCUUAUU